GGAGAGAGGGGCCUAAUGAAUGAGCGCGCACAGAUGUGUGAAAGAGGCAGAAUGAAAAGCGCGGCUGACUGAUUGGAGGAGUGGGAGAUGCAUCUAUUUUUGUUCCUCUUCAGCACUGAAAGGCCACCGCUCUCACAAGGACAGGAAGAAGAGCUGGAGGGAGUGAGGAAUGAGGCUCAUUCACAGAGUAUGGUGGUGGCCAAUGGGAGGAUAGACGAGUGCUAUUUUUGGACAUGUAGGCACAUGUGGGCCUAUAGGGAGAGUAGAGUGGCCCAGGUGCUCAGCGACGUUGUCCGACAGGUACAGAAGUUUACCCUCACUCGUUAGCAAGAGGAGAAAGCCCGGCGAGGGACAUGAUGUGGAGGUAUGAAAGCCGAGAUUUGUCUGCGUCGGAGAUAGGGAGAAGAUCCUUCAGG
Long non-coding RNA from Electrophorus electricus (electric eel), 416 nucleotides. RefSeq lists it as uncharacterized. The record is from RefSeq and is a predicted model, not a curated record. NCBI's taxonomy places the organism in Eukaryota, Metazoa, Chordata, Actinopteri, Gymnotiformes, Gymnotidae.